RNAcentral lists this ribosomal RNA (465 nucleotides) under uncultured bacterium. Its description in RNAcentral is "partial 16S ribosomal RNA". It matches the Rfam family "Bacterial small subunit ribosomal RNA", at positions 338 to 795 of the family's 1533-position model. The record is from RNAcentral.
CCUACGGGCGGCAGCAGUAGGGAAUCUUCCACAAUGGGCGAAAGCCUGAUGGAGCAACGCCGCGUGGGUGAAGAAGGUCUUCGGAUCGUAAAACCCUGUUGUUAGAGAAGAAAGUGCGUGAGAGUAACUGUUCACGUUUCGACGGUAUCUAACCAGAAAGCCACGGCUAACUACGUGCCAGCAGCCGCGGUAAUACGUAGGUGGCAAGCGUUAUCCGGAUUUAUUGGGCGUAAAGGGAACGCAGGCGGUCUUUUAAGUCUGAUGUGAAAGCCUUCGGCUUAACCGGAGUAGUGCAUUGGAAACUGGGAGACUUGAGUGCAGAAGAGGAGAGUGGAACUCCAUGUGUAGCGGUGAAAUGCGUAGAGAUAUGGAAGAACACCAGUGGCGAAGGCGGCUUUCUGGUCUGUAACUGACGCUGAGGUGCGAAAGCGUGGGGAGCAAACAGGAUUAGAUACCCCAGUAGUC